RNAcentral lists this ribosomal RNA (462 nucleotides) under uncultured Geobacter sp. RNAcentral describes it as "bacterial SSU rRNA". It matches the Rfam family "Bacterial small subunit ribosomal RNA", at positions 920 to 1382 of the family's 1533-position model. Lineage: Bacteria; Pseudomonadati; Thermodesulfobacteriota; Desulfuromonadia; Geobacterales; Geobacteraceae. The record is from RNAcentral.
CCCGCACAAGCGGUGGAGCAUGUGGUUAAUUCGACGCAACGCGAAAACUUACCUGGGCUUGACAUGGAGAGAAUCUCCUGGAAACAGGAGAGUGCCUCGCAAGAGGAGCUCUCACACAGGUGCUGCAUGGCUGUCGUCAGCUCGUGUCGUGAGAUGUUGGGUUAAGUCCCGCAACGAGCGCAACCCUUGUCCUUAGUUGCCACCAUUCAGUUGGGCACUCUAAGGAGACUGCCGGUGUUAAACCGGAGGAAGGUGGGGAUGACGUCAAGUCCUCAUGGCCCUUAUGCCCAGGGCUACACACGUGCUACAAUGGGCGGUACAAAGGGUAGCGAUGCCGCGAGGCGAAGCCAAUCCCAAAAAGCCGUCCACAGUUCGGAUUGGAGUCUGCAACUCGACUCCAUGAAGCCGGAAUCGCUAGUAAUCGUGGAUCAGCAUGCCACGGUGAAUACGUUCCCGGGCCUU